Molecule: long non-coding RNA, 1256 nt
Filed under: Trifolium pratense (red clover)
Lineage: Eukaryota; Viridiplantae; Streptophyta; Magnoliopsida; Fabales; Fabaceae
Description: long non-coding RNA (TPRA_LNC006620)
Source: RNAcentral
GAUUAAAACUGGAGAAAAUCCGGUGAAUAAUACACCGGAGACAAUCCACUCCCAAUUUUAACAUUGCGGGUGUUAAGUUUUGGCGAUUUUGAACCAUGCAACAAUUAUUGAGCAAUCUAACGCUUUCACUUGAUAACAAGUUGUUUUGACAUGUAUAAUAAAUAUGCAAGCUAUGAUAACUGAUAAGUGAUAACACUACAAAUAUAUUCAAGAAAAACUAGUCAGCCACACAUGCUUCAAUCAAUAUUUUCCAUUUCUAUUCACUCUUAAGCCACAAACCCAAAGAUACUACUUAGUUCACUGUGUACUAGAAAAAGAACUUUCCAUAACAGUCCAUUUGGGAGGGAUUUAUUGCAGUUUUUUGCAGUUUAAUUUGUAAUGUCUUUUUUCUCCCUCCCUGUAUCAACUUUCAACACAAAGUAAAUUUUUCUUGAACUAUCAAAAAUUAUUGGAAUCCAAAAUGGUGGCAUGACAUAGAGAAUCAAUUCAAGUUCAAAGCUACACAUAAGAGAGAGUAGAGAAUCGAUUUCAAAACCAAGAGUCAAACAUCCUUCUAACUCGGGCAAAUAGUUUUGACCACUCUCACUAUCAUUUAAUUUUUACUAAAGUGUAACCAAGCACAUACUAAGUAUAUAAACAUCUUCUAUCCCUCAAUCUAAAUCUAAAAUUAACUAAAGAGGGAUUUGCUUCCCUCCCCUCCUCAUCAAAAUAUUAAACUAAACAAAACAGACCCUAAGUUUAAAGGAGUUGUCCUCUAUUCAAGAGAAAUUGGAAGCAAGAAAUUCAAAAAUUACUCUCAAAUCUCAAGGUCAUUUCCAUGAACAAGUUCAAAGAGAAGCACGGAAUAACCUCACAUUAAAACUACACCAGCCAUUCAUGAAUCUACCCUGCCUAAACAUCAACAUAAAAUUUCACCAGACAUUCAUGAAUCUACCCUGCCUAAACAUCAACAACAUGAACUAACAAAACGAAUAAACAUCACAAUCUACUAUCUUAUAGCUACAAAGUAUCCAUCGCCAUUCACGAGUGCCUAUUUUCUGUCUGAAAAUCUAUUGUCACACAAAGUGAGAUCUCUCCUGCCAAACAAAUUUUCUUCAUAUACAAAAAUAAGGCAUCAGUGCCAGAUCCUCAAGAGCCUAACUUUCACCUUCAAGUAACCACCAAGAAUCGAUUUAUGAAUCAACUUUUGUAAUGUUAAAAUUGGGAGUGGAUUGUCUCCGGUGUAUUAUUCACCGGAUUUUCUCCAGUUUUAAUCA